AAAUUGAAGAGUUUGAUCAUGGCUCAGAUUGAACGCUGGCGGCAGGCUUAACACAUGCAAGUCGAGCGGAAACGAGUUAUCUGA
RNAcentral lists this ribosomal RNA (84 nucleotides) under Vibrio alginolyticus. Its description in RNAcentral is "partial 16S ribosomal RNA". It matches the Rfam family "Bacterial small subunit ribosomal RNA", at positions 1 to 84 of the family's 1533-position model. The record is from RNAcentral. Lineage: Bacteria; Pseudomonadati; Pseudomonadota; Gammaproteobacteria; Vibrionales; Vibrionaceae.